ACGUAGGUGGCAAGCGUUGUCCGGAAUUAUUGGGCGUAAAGCGCGCGCAGGCGGCUUCUUAAGUCCAUCUUAAAAGUGCGGGGCUUAACCCCGUGAUGGGAUGGAAACUGGGAGACUGGAGUAUCGGAGAGGAAAGUGGAAUUCCUAGUGUAGCGGUGAAAUGCGUAGAGAUUAGGAAGAACACCAGUGGCGAAGGCGACUUUCUGGACGACAACUGACGCUGAGGCGCGAAAGCGUGGGGAGCAAACAG
RNAcentral lists this ribosomal RNA (250 nucleotides) under uncultured bacterium. RNAcentral describes it as "partial 16S ribosomal RNA". It matches the Rfam family "Bacterial small subunit ribosomal RNA", at positions 525 to 775 of the family's 1533-position model. The record is from RNAcentral.